This 308-nucleotide long non-coding RNA is filed under the name Coffea arabica (coffee). RNAcentral describes it as "long non-coding RNA (CARA_LNC004954)". Lineage: Eukaryota; Viridiplantae; Streptophyta; Magnoliopsida; Gentianales; Rubiaceae. The record is from RNAcentral.
UGUAUUCAUCAAACUAAUUAAUGAAAAUUUUAGUAUAUAUGAUCAGAACAAAUAUCUAGUGACUGCUUCAAAUCGAUUCUAAUUAUCAGUUGUAUUAGGAGUACUUCUCUAAAGAUUGCUAUUGAACUUUGGGACGACAAAAAUCUCCAAUUUAUCUACCUGAAAUCUAGUUUUAACAAAGGAUAAGUUUAGUCAAGAAUAAGCAAACAACAAACAUCGAUAAGGAUGCAUAAGAAAAACUCAACUAUGGUACCCCUAGGGAUAAAUACCCUAUUAGUUUUCAGUUGUGGGCUUCACGUUCUCAUCAC